This 550-nucleotide long non-coding RNA is filed under the name Olea europaea subsp. europaea. The record is from RNAcentral. Lineage: Eukaryota; Viridiplantae; Streptophyta; Magnoliopsida; Lamiales; Oleaceae.
CGGAAGGUUGUAAAUUUUUUUGAUGGGAACAAUAGGAUAAUGUUUCAUUUGGGGCAAUGAUCGACCUCUUAGAUUUAGCUUUUUGUAAAUGCUAAGUCUUCAUUCGUUUUGUAGUGGAAGAAGAAGCGAAUGAGGAGGUUGAAAAGGAAGCGCAGAAAGAUGAGACAAAGAUCCAAGUAGUGGAGGAUAGUAGUGGAUGGCGAAUUAGCUUCUUUUGCACGAACCAGUUUCUUCUUCAUUGUCUGCCCAACGAUCAAGAAGAGUGGAAAGAAGUUCUGUAGAUGGUGCCGUCUUGUUGUCUAUUCUACUCUCUCGAUUUUAUUCGGCUUUUUGUGGAAGUUUAGGUUGACUUGUGCGUUUUUACCGUCUACUUUCAUGUUUCCUAAUUAAAAGACCAUAUGACAUUUGUAUUAAAUCUGAGUAGGAAUGGAUGCAUGGUGUUUUCAGAUAUCAUUUGUGGCUUCUUUCAUUCCUUUCCUAUUUAUGGCCAGUGAUUAUGUACUACUUUUUGCUUCAUUCUUCGCUUCUUCAGAUGGUGAUAUUUUUUAUC